CAUAUUCCUUCUGACCCCACAGCUCGGCCCCAGCUGUUCCCAUUAUCGGCCCCAUGUUCAUCCGACCCCAUUUCAUUGGGUUGCCUGGUUUCCCCUUCGGUUCCGUCCUCCAUCACUUGGUCCGGCCCGAGAGGAUCCGAACCGGGAUCCGCCAUCUUGGAUCCGCAAAGGAAACUGGGAUUUAUCCGACUUCGGGAUGGAGAUAAAGGGGAGAAGUUCGAAUGUCGGGUCACAGCGCCCCCUAGCGGGGAGGUCUUAAGGAAGGAGGUGCCUGCCUGUCUGGGCUCAUCUCUCACCCCAUUGGCUCCCGAGGUUCAGCUGGUCCACUCCUCUUCCUGUUCGCCGUCCAAUAGGGAGACAGUCGAGUUAAUCUGCCUAGUAACAGGCUUCUCCCCACCGGAGCUGCAAAUUGAUUGGCUGAUCGACGGCCGAAAGGCGGGGCCGACGUUUCCCGCCAUCCGCGGACCAAUGGUGAGAGAGGAAGGAGAAUCGACCUAUAGCGUGACGAGUCGGGUCAACGUGUCGAAAUCUGAUUGGUCGGAAGGGAAAAGCUUCACUUGUCAAGUGAAACAUCCCGGAACAGGAAGUGUGGUGGAAGAUCACGUGAGAGGAUGUGAAGGUACGGACGCCAUCUUGGAUAGUGGCACAUAGGGAUAUAUAGGGACC
This is a non-coding RNA of Coturnix japonica (Japanese quail), 666 nucleotides long. The record is from the annotation of a RefSeq genome assembly. Lineage: Eukaryota; Metazoa; Chordata; Aves; Galliformes; Phasianidae.